CCUACGGGUGGCAGCAGUGGGGAAUAUUGCACAAUGGGCGCAAGCCUGAUGCAGCCAUGCCGCGUGUGUGAAGAAGGCCUUCGGGUUGUAAAGCACUUUCAGCGGGGAGGAAGGCGGUGAGGUUAAUAACCUCAUCGAUUGACGUUACCCGCAGAAGAAGCACCGGCUAACUCCGUGCCAGCAGCCGCGGUAAUACGGAGGGUGCAAGCGUUAAUCGGAAUUACUGGGCGUAAAGCGCACGCAGGCGGUCUGUCAAGUCGGAUGUGAAAUCCCCGGGCUCAACCUGGGAACUGCAUUCGAAACUGGCAGGCUAGAGUCUUGUAGAGGGGGGUAGAAUUCCAGGUGUAGCGGUGAAAUGCGUAGAGAUCUGGAGGAAUACCGGUGGCGAAGGCGGCCCCCUGGACAAAGACUGACGCUCCGGUGCGAAAGCGUGGGGAGCAAACAGGAUUAGAUACCCGUGUAGUC
RNAcentral lists this ribosomal RNA (465 nucleotides) under uncultured Klebsiella sp. RNAcentral describes it as "bacterial SSU rRNA". It matches the Rfam family "Bacterial small subunit ribosomal RNA", at positions 338 to 795 of the family's 1533-position model. The record is from RNAcentral. Lineage: Bacteria; Pseudomonadati; Pseudomonadota; Gammaproteobacteria; Enterobacterales; Enterobacteriaceae.